This 246-nucleotide ribosomal RNA is filed under the name uncultured bacterium. RNAcentral's name for it is "partial 16S ribosomal RNA". It matches the Rfam family "Bacterial small subunit ribosomal RNA", at positions 523 to 769 of the family's 1533-position model. The record is from RNAcentral.
AUACGUAGGGUGCGAGCGUUAAUCGGAAUUACUGGGCGUAAAGCGUGCGCAGGCGGUUUUGUAAGACAGAUGUGAAAUCCCCGGGCUUAACCUGGGAACUGCGGUUGUGACUGCAAGACUAGAGUGCGGCAGAGGGGGUGGAAUUCCACGUGUAGCAGUGAAAUGCGUAGAGAUGUGGAGGAACACCGGUGGCGAAGGCAGCCCCCUGGGUUGACACUGACGCUCAUGCACGAAAGCGUGGGUAGC